CAUGCCUUCCUCGACAAAAUGAUCAAAUGGAGUCUAAACCAAUGGCUAGUGAUAUCUCUUGUCGAUAUGAUGAGCUGAUUGGCAACACAAUUUGCAGAGCAUCUGGUAGCAUAACUAGAAUAUCAACUCCUGGCCUCAAAUUGAAUUACACUUCUGCUCAAGCACUGUGUAGCAGGCACAAUGGUACAAUCCUCUCUGAAGCGUCGUUCCACGCUUUAUGCUCGGUUGGUUUAACCAACAUACACACCAUUGCAUGGAGAGGAUUGCCAAUUGAAGGAUCUUUAUUACUUGACUCCAACGACAAUUUCGCGGGCCUAGCGCAGCUUUUGCGUGUUGUGUGUGAAAUACCGCUGUACUGUAACGUACCUGUCAUUGCCAAUGGCACUGCUGACAGAACCGUGGUCCAAUUCACGCACAAUGUUACCUUUUCUUGCCAAGAGGGUCAUUGGAUUGUGGGUGAUGCCACAUCAAAUUGCACGGCUGAUGGAAAUCUCACUUCAGUGCCCUACU
This is a long non-coding RNA of Sycon ciliatum, 510 nucleotides long. RefSeq lists it as uncharacterized. The record is from RefSeq and is a predicted model, not a curated record. The transcript is spliced from 3 exons. Lineage: Eukaryota; Metazoa; Porifera; Calcarea; Leucosolenida; Sycettidae.